UGUGUAGGCGGUUCUCUAAGUUCGGUGUGAAAUCUCCCGGCUUAACUGGGAGGGUGCGCCGGAAACUGGAGGGCUUGAGUAUGGGAGAGGAAAGCGGAAUUCCUGGUGUAGCGGUGAAAUGCGUAGAUAUCAGGAGGAACACCUGCGGUGUAGACGGCUUUCUGGACCAUCACUGACGCUGAGACACGAAAGCGUGGGUAGCAAACAGGAUUAGAUACCCUGGUAGUCCACGCCCUAAACGAUGCAUACUUGGUGUGAGCCGUUCAUUCGGUUCGUGCCGGAGCUAACGCGUUAAGUAUGCCGCCUGGGGAGUACGGUCGCAAGGCUGAA
This 330-nucleotide ribosomal RNA is filed under the name uncultured bacterium. RNAcentral's name for it is "bacterial SSU rRNA". It matches the Rfam family "Bacterial small subunit ribosomal RNA", at positions 568 to 898 of the family's 1533-position model. The record is from RNAcentral.